CCUUGUUAUAUUUUCCACAAGGGACGACAGUUCCUGCGGGGGCGGAGGGGGGAAGAGGUAAUGACAAUUAAGUAUAAAAAGCCCCCUCCCCGCUUUGAAUCUGUGCCUAACUAGCAGCAGGAGAAGAAGAGGCGGAGGGUUUGAUGAUAUUGGAAGCCCCGCCCAAUGCCUGGGCAGGGGGACGUCCUGCUUCCCCCCUCUCCCUCCGCGCGCACGCCCGCCCGCUCUUUGGAAGGAACUGGAGUGGCUUCUUUCUUUCUCUCCUUGCUGCUGACUCUCCUCCUUCUCCCUCGCCGCCCCCUCCCCAUGCACGCACAGAGCCCGUCUCUCGCGCUCGGUCCUGCAGACAGACAGGGAGACAGAAGAUGGCUGACUCGCCAGGGCAACCCACGGUCCGGCCCGCAUCCCCAACCCUCCCAGAGCCGCUUUCUCCUUUGACACCCGUUGACGCUUUCGCCCAGCGCUAAAAGCCGCCCCCGUCCUCCCUCCCUUCCUCUCCACAACCUUCCCCCCAAAGCUUUUCCCAAAUAAUACCAGCAGCCAUUUCAUUUCCACCAAAGUAGAUACACGCGCGCGCGCGCGCACAUACACACACACACACACACAACACACACGCACACAAAACAACAAAAAAAUGGCAGAAAUGGAGAAAGAAGGGAGACCUCCAGAAAAUAAAAGAAGCAGGAAGCCGGCUCACCCCGUGAAAAGGGAAAUCAAUGAAGAGAUGAAGAAUUUUGCAGAAAACACUAUGAAUGAGCUCCUUGGCUGGUAUGGUUAUGAUAAGGUUGAAUUAAAAGAUGGAGAAGAUAUUGAAUUCAGGAAUUACUCUACAGAUGGGGAGAGCCGACAGCACAUUUCUGUUCUCAAAGAAAACUCUUUGCCAAAAACAAAAUUACCUGAAGACAGUGUUACAUCAUCAUACAAUAUACACACAAGCUAUCCAGGGCUGACCACAGGAAACGGAAUCUCAGACUCACCAGCAGGAUCAAAGGAACAUGGCAAUAUACCCAUUAUUGUACCAUUAAUUCCACCACCUUUUAUAAAGCCACCAGCAGAAGAUGAUGUAUCAAAUGUACAAAUCAUGUGUGCCUGGUGCCAGAAAGUGGGAAUCAAACGCUAUUCUCUGAGUAUGGGGAGCGAAGUGAAAUGCUUCUGCAGUGAAAAAUGUUUUGCAGCUUGCCGGAGAGCAUACUUCAAAAGAAACAAGGCUAGAGAUGAAGAUGGACAUGCUGAAAAUUUUCCCCAGCAACACUAUGCUAAGGAAACUCCAAGACUUGCCUUCAAGAAUAACUGCGAACUACUUGUGUGUGACUGGUGUAAGCACAUAAGACACACAAAAGAGUAUCUGGAUUUUGGGGACGGGGAAAGAAGGCUUCAAUUCUGCAGUGCAAAAUGUCUCAAUCAGUACAAAAUGGACAUUUUCUACAAAGAGACACAGGCCAAUCUUCCAGCUGGACUCUGCAGCACAUUACAUCCUCCAGUAGAAAAUAAAGCAGAAGGCACUGGGGUGCAGCUGCUGACUCCAGAUUCUUGGAAUAUAUCGCUAGCAGAUGCUCGGAGAAAGGCCCCAUCCCCAGUGUCUGCAGCUGGCCAAAUUCAAGGUCCUGGACCAUCCACAUCUACCACUGCCUCUCCGUCUGAUAUUGCCAACUGCUCUGUCACUAAAAUCCCAACACCGGUUCCCAAACUCAAUGAGAAUCCAAAUAUUCCACCAGUUUCUGUUCAGCCACCUGCUGGUAUUGUGCCUCCAAUUGGUGUCCCACCUCGAAGUCCACCCAUGGUGAUGACAAACCGUGGACCAGUUCCCUUGCCCAUAUUCAUGGAACAGCAAAUUCUGCAGCAGAUUCGUCCACCGUUUAUUCGAGGGCCGCCUCAUCAUGCAUCAAAUCCAAAUAGCCCUCUGUCCAAUCCAAUGAUUCCUGGAAUUGGCCCACCACCAGGUGGUCCUAGAAAUAUGGGACCCACUUCCAGCCCAAUGCAUAGGCCAAUGUUGUCCCCUCAUAUCCAUCCUCCAACAACUCCAACCAUGCCUGGAAAUCCUCCAGGCUUACUACCCCCUCCACCUCCAGGAGUUCCUUUGCCCAGCCUGCCUUUCCCUCCUGUAAGCAUGAUGCCAAAUGGUCCCAUGCCCAUGCCACAGAUGAUGAACUUUGGUUUGCCAUCUCUUGCCCCAUUAGUGCCACCACCAACCCUCUUAGUGCCAUAUCCUGUUAUCGUUCCACUUCCUGUCCCAAUCCCAAUCCCAAUCCCCAUUCCUCACAUCAAUGAUUCCAAGCCCCCAAAUGGCUUCUCGAGCAAUGGAGAAAGCUUCAUUCCAAAUACACCCAGUGACACAACAGGGGCUAAGCCAACAAGUAAUUCUGUGUCCACCAGGAAUUCUAAACAAGGCCCUUCUAAGCCUUCUGAUUCCUCACCAAGCUGCUCAGGCCAGUCCUUAAAUCAAACGCAAGUGCAUCAGCAGCACAGUAAAGGUGAAGUUGUUGAUUUGACUGUGAGACCAAGUAGUCCUGUGAACAACAAGUUUGGUUUUCCUACAGUACUACAGGGACCACAGGAUGGUGUGAUAGACUUAACUGUAGGUCACAGGUCUAGACUACACAAUGUUAUCCACAGGGCUUUGUACGCUGAAGUCAAAGUUGAACACGAAGCUAGCAGUGUUGUAAAUCUGACUUUGGGUAGCUCAGAUAAAAAGAACUGCAGUGACUGCAGAAAAAAUUGCAGCCCCACUGAAACAAAGACAUUACCUGGUGGUGAUCCACCUCACUGCGGCUCCCUCCCCGCUGCCUCAGGCACUCCAGAAAAUGCUGCAGCUGCAGCCUGCAAUGUCAUUGUGAAUGGCACAAAAGGACCCGAGAUUUCUAAGAACUCCGAAACACCCCAAGAGCAAAAAAAGACUCAGCUUCAAACUUGUUUGCUGGAGGAGCUGCCAGUGAGUGAGCUGGAAUCCGUUAAGGAGAAUAACUGUACGUCAAACUGUCGCCGGGAAGGAGAGUCUGGUAAGAAGACAGGGGAAGAACCUCUGUUUGGGGGAGACAAACAAGACCCCAACCUUAACAAUCCGGCUGAUGAGGAUCAUGCAUAUGCUUUGCGGAUGCUACCCAAAGCAGGCUGCGUCAUCCAGCCUGUACCCAGACCAGCGGAAAAGACUGCAAUUGGACCCUGCAUUAUUUCAACGCCAAGUCUCAGCACAGGGCCCGAGGAUCUAGAGCCACCACUCAAAAGGAGGUGUCUCCGAAUUCGAAAUCAGAAUAAGUAAAGAGUUAAAGUAGUGCUUCCUCUUCAAGCAGGCAAUAUGUUGCAGCAGACGAGUGAUGCUGAAGGGAAGGCUGCCAAAUAAAGCAGAAGAAAGAUUGCUGGCUCUAGGUCUAGUUUCAGGUGCAACAUUUCUGUACGGUCAAAAUAUUUUUGAGUGAAUGCUGAUAUUGACAGGGUACCUUGCAUGGAGAAAGGGAGCAGAGCAAUCAGUGCUACUUCACCAGACAACACCAGCUGGUCCACUCGCCACCAUAUCUGGUCAGAAAUCAAGAAAGCAAAGCCAUUUCCCCUCAUUAUUUCUCUCAGAGGGAAGGCUAAACCCUAGGGUGCCUUUGGGUCAGAAGACUGUAAGCACAUCAUGGACCCCUCAAAGUACUCCCAGCAUUCCGAUGACCCCGUCCCCUUCUCCCUAAACCUUUGGUUUCUUGCCGAUGGAGGAUUUUCCUCUGAUUCUAAAGCCACAUGGACCAAUGUAUGUACUUUUUUUUCCUUAUAGACUUCAAGAUUCAAAUAUUUGAAGUUGGACAAUGAAAUGGAUCCCCCCCCCCCAAAAAAACCUGCUGUGGUUUUGCUGCUACAUGAAGAAUUGUGAUUUGCAUUGUAUGGUUUUGGACCUAUUCGCGUUUUAAUGGGAGGUGGUUGAAGGGGCUAUACUGGAGUAUUGACACUUCAGAGUCAUCUCUAUCUCCUGCCCAUCAUGCACUUUUAAAUGAAGAGUUAUUAGAAUAUUUUAUUGGCUAAUAUACUUUUUCUGUGUUAUUUUUACAAAGGCCACCUUUAUCCUUUUUAAUGCCAUAUUUUCAGUGUUACACUUUUCUGGCUUUUAAUUUUUUUAUUUUGAUUUGACAGAUGUAAGAAGCAGCAUGAAUAGUUUAUACUGUGGUUUUUCAGAGACUGAAUGCCAAGAGAACUCAGUAAAUGUUUAUUCCUCUCGGUUUUCUCUUUCAAUUCCCCUAAAUAGCACCCCUUUUGGGAACAGAGCAAGAGUGUUGAACUAAAGACCAAAAAAGAAAGAAAGAAGGAUCCCCUCAAGGUGUAAAACUAUCUGGGGAAAAUAUUUGCUGGGUGUUAUGAAAGACGUGGAUGAAAUUUCAACCCUGAUGGUUUUGCAGUGAUCCAGGAAGCCAGUGAGACAAUCUCUCCAGAUGUAAAGCUCUUUCAUGAUAAUUAGAAAGGUAUGGCCAAGCCAAUGAAAACACAGGGGUAAAGUGAGAAGCAAGUCCCCAUGAUUUUGUUUCACUAUUUGCUUUCUCCUGCCAUGGUUAAAAGAAAUGUGCAAUCUGAUUCUCAGUUGGUGGGUGGAGGAUAACAGGGUAAGAUUUACUUGUGUGCACUUGUAUAGUUGUAGCCAAGAAUCCAAACGUACACUAGAGCACUGAUUUGGUAAAACAAUUGGGAUGUAUCCCAUUUUGGGCAAAAUACUAAGGGGGGAAAUGAGAGAAAAAAAUAUACGUUCAAAUCACCUUGUGAUCCAGUGUAACUGUUUACUAACUUGAAUCAAGCAAUUGUUCACACACUAGUGAUCAGAGUGCACCUUCACUAUAAGGCUAUUGUGCUUAGCAAAGGGAAAAACAUUUGGGAAGAUUGUGAUUCAAAGAGCUUGGGAGCAGGGUCUUAAAUUAGAGCCAAUUAAAUCAGAACUUUAUAGCGAUGGUGCACUGACGGUACUUUGUACAUACUGUAUUUCUAUAUUUUCCUUUGUACAGAUUCACUUAAGUCAAGCCACUGUUUUACAGGGGCUCCUUAUUUAUUAGGUCUGUGAAGGCUUGGAAAAUUACACCCAACAAGCAAAUUCACUUUGAUUAAAAAAAAAUACGAGAAAAAAAAGAUGAAGUGUGGGAGGGAGGGCAGAAGGUGAGUGGAUGUGCUCAUGAACCCACAGAGUCUCAAAGCCUAACAAAGGCAAAUUUCUAUGGAAAAUAUGAAGCAUUUUUAAGAUGCUUCUUGUUGUUCUUUUUUCUUCUCCCUGACUGGUGUCAGAUUUAUUAAAACAAAAUAAAUCUCCAAGUUAAAAAUGUA
Molecule: RNA transcript, 5274 nt
Organism: Crotalus tigris (Tiger rattlesnake)
Lineage: Eukaryota; Metazoa; Chordata; Lepidosauria; Squamata; Viperidae
Gene: SOBP
Gene name: sine oculis binding protein homolog
Exons: 8
Source: RefSeq, a predicted model, not a curated record